CAGCCGUAAACUAUGCGCGUUAGGUGUAUCGGUGACCACGAGUUACCGAGGUGCCGAAGGGAAACCGUGAAACGUGCCGCCUGGGAAGUACGGUCGCAAGGCUGAAACUUAAAGGAAUUGGCGGGGGAGCACCACAACAGGUGGAGCCUGCGGUUUAAUUGGACUCAACGCCGGGAAGCUCACCGGAUAGGACAGCAGAAUGAUAGUCGGGCUGAAGACUCUACUUGAUGAUCUGAGAGGUGGUGCAUGGCGUCAGUGACU
RNAcentral lists this ribosomal RNA (261 nucleotides) under uncultured archaeon. RNAcentral's name for it is "partial 16S ribosomal RNA". It matches the Rfam family "Archaeal small subunit ribosomal RNA", at positions 748 to 1008 of the family's 1478-position model. The record is from RNAcentral.